UACGAAGGGGGCUAGCGUUACUCGGAUUGACUGGGCGUAAAGGGCGCGUCGGCGGUUUGUACAGUCAGACGUGAAAUUCCUGGGCUCAACCUGGGGGCUGCGUUUGAUACGUGCAGACUUGAGUUCGGAAGAGGGUCGUGGAAUUCCCAGUGUAGAGGUGAAAUUCGUAGAUAUUGGGAAGAACACCGGUGGCGAAGGCGGCGACCUGGUCCGAUACUGACGCUGAGGCGCGAAAGCGUGGGGAGCAAACAGG
Molecule: ribosomal RNA, 253 nt
Filed under: uncultured bacterium
Lineage: Bacteria
Description: partial 16S ribosomal RNA
Rfam family: Bacterial small subunit ribosomal RNA
Source: RNAcentral